GCUCACUUCGGCAGGACAUAUACUAAAACUGAAACAAUACAGAGUAGAUGAGCAUGGCCCCUGUGCCAGGAUGACACGAAAUUUGUGAAGCAUCCCAUAUUGAA
Erinaceus europaeus (western European hedgehog) is the source of this 104-nucleotide small nuclear RNA. The record is from RefSeq and is a predicted model, not a curated record. NCBI's taxonomy places the organism in Eukaryota, Metazoa, Chordata, Mammalia, Eulipotyphla, Erinaceidae.